Molecule: non-coding RNA, 478 nt
Organism: Aegilops tauschii subsp. strangulata
Lineage: Eukaryota; Viridiplantae; Streptophyta; Magnoliopsida; Poales; Poaceae
Source: RefSeq, a predicted model, not a curated record
CUGAGACAUUGUUUGGCAGCUCAGUUUCUGGUGUUGGGAUGUACUCCAAGAGAGGAGAGCGCUGAUUUAAGCAUGAGGGAAUGAAUAGGAGAGGUUAGAAGCUGUACACAUUAUAAAUACCGACAAGAGAGGAUUAAGCGCAUCAGGCAUCUUACUCUGGGAGGGUAUAAACUUACUAGCCUGUCAUUGUCGACGUGAAUUCUGUGACGUGUAUGUACAGUAUAUUAUAUCUAGGAGACAAUGUCACAAUCAAACGAAGGAACUGAUGGAGGAUCAAGAGUAGAUUAUGCUUAAAAGUGCAGGCAUGAGACGGCGGAAGGGUAAUGACAAUGGAGAGAUCCGCUAGAUGUGACAAACGCUGGCCACAUUUUUUAGUCGUUGUCCUUCGUAUGAACCCUGUGUACUGAUACGAUUGGUUUUACUUAACUACCUGGCGCAAUGUUUCAGUAAUAAGGAAGAAAAUUGAUGGUUAUGGGUU